Molecule: long non-coding RNA, 701 nt
Organism: Oncorhynchus tshawytscha (Chinook salmon)
Lineage: Eukaryota; Metazoa; Chordata; Actinopteri; Salmoniformes; Salmonidae
Source: Ensembl
GUAGUGGGUGAUAUGGAUAUGUAGUGGGUGAUGUGGAUAGGUAGUGGAUGAUGUGGAUAGGGGAUAGGUAGUGGGUGAUGUGGAUAGGUAAUGGAUGAUGUGGAUAGGGGAUAGGUAGUGGGUGAUGUGGAUAGGUAGUGGGUGAUAUGGAUAUGUAGUGGGUGAUGUGGAUAGGUAGUGGAUGAUGUGGAUAGUAGAUAGGUAGUGGGUGAUGUGGAUAGGUAGUGGAUGAUGUGGAUAGUAGAUAGGUAGUGGAUGAUGUGGAUAGUAGAUAGGUAGUGGAUGAUGUGGAUAGUAUAUAGGUAGUGGAUGAUGUGGAUAGUAUAUAGGUAGUGGGUGAUGUGGAUAGUGGAUAGGUAGUGGGUGAUGUGGAUAGGUAGUGGAUGAUGUGGAUAGUGGAUAGGCAGUGGAUGAUGUGGAUAGUAGAUAGGUAGUGGGUGAUGUGGAUAGGUAGUGGGUGAUGUGGAUAGUAGAUAGGUAGUGGGUGAUGUGGAUAGGUAGUGGGUGAUGUGGAUAGUAGAUAGGUAGUGGGUGAUGUGGAUAGGUAGUGGGUGAUGUGGAUAGUAUAUAGGUAGUGGGUGAUGUGGAUAGUGGAUAGGUAUUGGAUGAUGUGGAUAGUAGAUAGGUAGUGGGUGAUGUGGAUAGUGGAUAGGUAGUGGGUGAUGUGGAUAGUAGAUAGGUAGUGGGUGAUGUGGAUAGUG